RNAcentral lists this ribosomal RNA (260 nucleotides) under uncultured Planctomycetota bacterium. RNAcentral describes it as "uncultured planctomycete partial 16S ribosomal RNA". It matches the Rfam family "Bacterial small subunit ribosomal RNA", at positions 927 to 1181 of the family's 1533-position model. Lineage: Bacteria; Pseudomonadati; Planctomycetota. The record is from RNAcentral.
AAGCGGUGGAGCAUGUGGUUCAAUUCGAAGCAACGCGCAGAACCUUACCUGGGCUUGACAUGCCAGGAUUAUCCCUGUGAAAGCAGGGUAGGCCCUUCGGGGUACAACUGGUACAGGUGCUGCAUGGCUGUCGUCAGCUCGUGUCGUGAGAUGUCGGGUUAAGUCCCUUAACGAGCGAAACCUUUGCCCUUAGUUACCAGCGGGUUAUGCCGGGGACUCUAAGGGGACUGCCGGUGUCAAACCGGAGGAAGGUGGAGAUG